RNAcentral lists this ribosomal RNA (497 nucleotides) under uncultured bacterium. Its description in RNAcentral is "partial 16S ribosomal RNA". It matches the Rfam family "Bacterial small subunit ribosomal RNA", at positions 28 to 507 of the family's 1533-position model. The record is from RNAcentral.
GAUGAACGCUGGCGGCGUGCCUAAUACAUGCAAGUCGAGCGAACAGACGAGGAGCUUGCUCCUCUGACGUUAGCGGCGGACGGGUGAGUAACACGUGGAUACCCUACCUAUAAGACUGGGAUAACUUCGGGAAACCGGAGCUAAUACCGGAUAAUAUAUUCAACCGCAUUGUUCAAUAGUGAAAGACGGUUUUGCUGUCACUUAUAGAUGGAUCCGCGCCGCUUUAGCUAGUUGUUAAGGUAACGGCUUACCAAGGCAACGAUGCGUAGCCGACCUGAGAGGGGGAUCGGCCACACUGGAACUGAGACACGGUCCAGACUCCUACGGGAGGCAGCAGUAGGGAAUCUUCCGCAAUGGGCGGAAGCAUGACGGAGCAACGCCGCGUGGGUGAUGAAGGUCUUCUGAUCGUAAAACUCUGUUACUAGGGAAGAACAAAUGUGUAAGUAACUAUACACGUCUUGACGGUACCGAAUCAGAAAGCCCCGGCUAACUACGUG